AGAGUUUGAUCAUGGCUCAGGAUAAACGCUGGCGGCGUGCCUAAUGCAUGCAAGUCGAUCGGGAUCUCCUUUGGGAGACGACCGAGGCGGACGGGUGAGGAGCGCGUAGCUGACCUGCCCUGAUGUGGGGGAUAUCCACCGGAAACGGUGAGCAAUACCGCAUGAGGCGGCCUGGGUAGCCCUGGGUCGUCAAAGCCAUCUUUGGAUGGUGCAUCAGGAGGGGGCUGCGUCCGAUUAGCUAGUUGGUGGGGUAAUGGCCUACCAAGGCGACGAUGCGUAGCUGGUCUGAGAGGAUGAUCAGCCACACUGGGACUGAGACACGGCCCAGACUCCUACGGGAGGCAGCAGCCAGGAAUCUUGGGCAAUGGGCGAAAGCCUGACCCAGCAACACCGUGUGGGCGAUGAAGGCCUUAGGGUCGUAAAGCCCUGUUGAUAGGGACGAAGGGCGAAGGGUUAAUAGCCCCUAGCUUGACGGUACCUUUCGAGGAAGCCCCGGCUAACUACGUGCCAGCAGCCGCGGUAAUACGUAGGGGGCGAGCGUUGUCCGGAAUUAUUGGGCGUAAAGAGCGUGUAGGCGGUUCGGUAAGUCUGCUGUGAAAUCCUGGGGCUCAACCCUGGGCGUGCAGCGGAUACUGCCGGGCUAGAGGGUGGUAGAGGCGAGUGGAAUUCCGAGUGUAGCGGUGAAAUGCGCAGAUAUUCGGAGGAACACCAGUAGCGAAGGCGGCUCGCUGGGCCACACCUGACGCUGAGACGCGAAAGCGUGGGGAGCGAACAGGAUUAGAUACCCUGGUAGUCC
Molecule: ribosomal RNA, 796 nt
Filed under: uncultured Rubrobacter sp.
Lineage: Bacteria; Bacillati; Actinomycetota; Rubrobacteria; Rubrobacterales; Rubrobacteraceae
Description: bacterial SSU rRNA
Rfam family: Bacterial small subunit ribosomal RNA
Source: RNAcentral